GUCCUUUUGAUUUCUAUUUAAGGUCUGACCUGCCCACUGAUAUAUUUAAUGGCCGCGGUAUUCUGACCGUGCAAAGGUAGCAUAAUAAUUUGUCUUUUAAUUGAAGGCUUGUAUGAAUGGUUGGACGAGAAAAUUACUUUCUUUAUAAUAAAAUUAUUAACUUUAUUUUUUAGUUAAAAAGCUAAAAUAUUGUUGUAGGACGAGAAGACCCUAUAGAACUUUAUAUUUGUUUUUAUAUUAAUAUUUUUGGUUUAUAAUAUAUUAUAUUUAUAUAAAUAUUUUGUUGGGGCGACAAGAAAAUUUGUUUAACUUUUUUUAUUAAUUUCAUUAAUUAAUGUAUAAAUGAUCCUUUAUUAAAGAUAAAUAGAAUAAGUUACCUUAGGGAUAACAGCGUAAUUUUUUUGGAGAGUUCUUAUCGAUAAAAAAGUUUGCGA
RNAcentral lists this ribosomal RNA (434 nucleotides) under Sigara hellensii. RNAcentral's name for it is "partial large subunit ribosomal RNA". It matches the Rfam family "Archaeal large subunit ribosomal RNA", at positions 1921 to 2592 of the family's 2987-position model. The record is from RNAcentral. Lineage: Eukaryota; Metazoa; Arthropoda; Insecta; Hemiptera; Corixidae.